RNAcentral lists this ribosomal RNA (497 nucleotides) under uncultured bacterium. RNAcentral describes it as "partial 16S ribosomal RNA". It matches the Rfam family "Bacterial small subunit ribosomal RNA", at positions 28 to 507 of the family's 1533-position model. The record is from RNAcentral.
GAUGAACGCUGGCGGCGUGCCUAAUACAUGCGAGUCGAGCGAACAGACGAGGAGCUUGCUCCUCUGACGUUAGCGGCGGACGGGUGAGUAACACGUGGAUAACCUACCUAUAAGACUGGGAUAACUUCGGGAAACCGGAGCUAAUACCGGAUAAUAUAUUGAACCGCAUGGUUCAAUAGUGAAAGACGGUUUUGCUGUCACUUAUAGAUGGAUCCGCGCCGCAUUAGCUAGUUGGUAAGGUAACGGCUUACCAAGGCAACGAUGCGUAGCCGACCUGAGAGGGUGAUCGGCCACACUGGAACUGAGACACGGUCCAGACUCCUACGGGAGGCAGCAGUAGGGAAUCUUCCGCAAUGGGCGAAAGCCUGACGGAGCAACGCCGCGUGAGUGAUGAAGGUCUUCGGUUCGUAAAACUCUGUUAUUAGGGAAGAACAAAUGUGUAAGUAACUAUGCACGUCUUGACGGUACCUAAUCAGAAAGCCACGGCUAACUACGUG